Molecule: RNA transcript, 1439 nt
Organism: Oryza sativa Japonica Group (Japanese rice)
Lineage: Eukaryota; Viridiplantae; Streptophyta; Magnoliopsida; Poales; Poaceae
Gene name: chloroplastic group IIB intron splicing facilitator CRS2, chloroplastic-like
Source: RefSeq, marked validated
GAAGGGCGGCUAAUGCUAAUCUGAAAUCUCCUCUCGCCCUAUCGGUUCCGCUUCUCCUCUCCCCUCGCCAUGUCGCUUGCCGUGGCCACUCCCGCCUCCGCCCGCCUCUCCCCGCUCACCACCUCCUCCCCCGAACCCUGCCGCCGCCGCCGCCUCCUCCUCUCCGCAGCCGCCCCUCUCCGGCGCACCCGUCUCCGGCGCCGCAUCGCCGUCGUCGCGUCCGUCCCCGACCCCGCGGCGCGGCCGGCGGAGUACACGCCCUGGCUCAUCGCCGGCCUCGGCAACCCCGGCAGCAAGUACCACGGCACGCGUCACAACGUGGGGUUUGAGAUGGUCGAUCGCAUCGCGCGAGACGAGGGGAUCACCAUGAACACGAUCCAGUCCAAGUCGCUGCUCGGAAUAGGUUCGAUUGGGGAAGUGCCUGUCUUGUUGGUAAAGCCACAAUCAUAUAUCAACUACAGUGGGGAGGCAAUUGGACCUCUUGCUGCCUAUUAUCAAGUACCAUUGCGGCAUAUCCUUGUGAUGUAUGAUGAGAUGAGUCUACCCAAUGGUGUAUUGCGUCUUCAACGGAAAGGUGGUCAUGGUCGCCAUAAUGGCCUGCAGAACGUAAUGGAAUGUUUGGACAGUUCCCGUGAACUUCCUCGUUUAUCUAUAGGCAUUGGUAGCCCACCCGGCAAAAUGGACACGCGUGCUUUUCUUCUGCAGAAGUUCAGUUCAGAGGAACGGCUGCAGAUUGACACUGCUUUGGAGCAAGGGGUGGAUGCUGUGAGAACUCUUGUGUUGAAGGGUUUUAGUGGAAGUAUUGAGAGAUUCAAUCUGGUUCAGAAGUACAAGUUCCACAGUGUUUGAGAAUUAUUAAGAGGCUUGGAUAUACUUGCUGAGGACGCAUAAAUACGCAUCAUCAAUAUCAUUGGAAGUGUCGGACGUGGUACUUUGCACAAUCUACGUGGAAUGCCAUGUGGGCUAGCUCUGUCCAGCAUGCGUGAUUGUUAUCAUUUGAUGAGGCAUUUAACACACUUAUCCCACACACUUGCAGUGCUCCAUGGAGUAAGGUGCCGUGACUGCCGUCUAGGGAAGCCUUGUGCAAGCCAUACAAGGCAGUGGCAAGCUUUCUUAUCUCCUUUUUAUAGCCUUGUUUCUGAGCAUUAUUGCAGUAGCUUUGUAGAAGAUAUUUGGAUCAAAACUAUAUUUUUUCUGUUUGUAUAAUUGGAUAGUCAACUUGAUAGAUUUUAUUUUCUAGUUGCAAAUAAGGCUCUGUAUUAUAUUAGAGAAGCAAAUAUGCAUAACCAGCUAAGAGUGCCACAGGAGAACUAUACGAGAGCCAAGAGUGCAUAAUUUGUGUUUUCUUUUCCUUGAGGGUUAGAGAAUGUGUAGAUGAGGUGCUCAGUGCACUGCAAUGCAAGGUGGAGACCACUGUAGCAGAAAAAGCUAUUGACCUA